CCUUCCGUAGGGGGAACCUGCGGAAGGAUCAUUAUCGAGUUUUGACUGGGUUGUAGCUGGCCUUCCGAGGCAUGUGCACGCCCUGCUCAUCCACUCUACACCUGUGCACUUACUGUGGGCUUCAGAUCGUAAAACGGGUCCCUUUACCGGGCUUGCGGAGCGUGUCUGUGCCUGCGUUUAUCACAAACUCUAUAAAGUAUCAGAAUGUGUAUUGCGAUGUAACGCAUCUAUAUACAACUUUCAGCAACGGAUCUCUUGGCUCUCGCAUCGAUGAAGAACGCAGCGAAAUGCGAUAAGUAAUGUGAAUUGCAGAAUUCAGUGAAUCAUCGAAUCUUUGAACGCACCUUGCGCUCCUUGGUAUUCCGAGGAGCAUGCCUGUUUGAGUGUCAUGAAAUCUUCAACCUGCAAGCUUUUGUGGUUUGUAGGCUUGGACUUGGAGGCUUGUCGGCCGUUGUUGGUCGGCUCCUCUUAAAUGCAUUAGCUUGGUUCCUUGCGGAUCGGCUCUCAGUGUGAUAAUGUCUACGCUGCGACCGUGAAGCGUUUGGCGAGCUUCUAACCGUCUCAGUUGGAGACAACUUUAUGACCUCUGACCUCAAAUCAGGUCGUUCUGCCCGCUGAACUUAAGCAUAUCAAUAAGCCGGAGGAA
Molecule: ribosomal RNA, 646 nt
Filed under: Ganoderma sp. BAB-5263
Lineage: Eukaryota; Fungi; Basidiomycota; Agaricomycetes; Polyporales; Polyporaceae
Description: eukaryotic LSU rRNA
Rfam family: 5.8S ribosomal RNA (bases 236-389)
Source: RNAcentral